This is a long non-coding RNA of Homo sapiens (human), 1463 nucleotides long. Ensembl annotates it as long intergenic non-protein coding RNA 662. NCBI's taxonomy places the organism in Eukaryota, Metazoa, Chordata, Mammalia, Primates, Hominidae. The record is from Ensembl.
AAGACACCACCCCAGCCAGCAUGGCCGGCAGGAGCGCACCGCGCUGUCUCCCUCCAGGGAUCCGCACCGCCCUACAAUCCUGCUUUGUGCUGAGAUUGUAGUCCUGCAGGCGUACAACUAACAAGCUGGGUGCAGAUAAGAGACUACAGCUCCCCGCAUCCCAAGCAAAGGUCCCUCCUCUACGGAGCCCCUCCACGCGUCCACUGCGGUUCCGCCGUGCCAAGGGGAGCUUGGCUGUUCACGGGCCUCACCUGCUAGCGAGAAGAUAGCUUGGCCGGGCGGCUGAUCUCACCUUGUAAUUCUGACACUGUGUCUCCCGGGCUUGUCGGCUUCAUGACUUGUGCCCAAAGUUUGAUUUCUCGCAGACCAGGAGGACCCAUUGGACCCCCGGGCUGGCUGCAGGGCCCACACCUGGGUUAGACCUCGCACAGGGACGCUGCUGCCACUGUAAUAAAGCGUGCCUACACGCUUCUGAAACUGGUGUAGGAACAACCUCAGUUCUGUGAAAGGCGGACGCAGCAGGACAGAAUCUCCGUGGACAUCUGUCUGGAGGAGCAAUUUUACUGCGACAUUUUAAAGAAACAAAUUUAAUUGAUUUCCAAGGGUGUCCAUCGCGCUUCCUUCACUGCCUUGAUCAUGUCGGGGUCACCACCUGCGGGGGUUUGUCCUGCAGACCCUGACUCAACGACGGAUGAAUAAUGUACACUGACACAGAUCUUAUGCUUGUCAGUCCUGCUGAGCAUCCAGGCCACUUACAGACUCCAAGAAGAGUCCUGUCAGCCACGGCUCUGACUUGUUGGCCCUCCCGGCAUUUAUUUAGCACACAUUUAAUGACAGAAGUCUCAGGCUGGAAACACUCUUUUUGUAGAACAUACAAAUGGACAUUUCUAAGCACAUUGAGGCCUAUAAUGAAAAAUCAAAUAUCCCACAAUGAAAACUAGAAGGAAGCUAUCUGUGAUAAUGCUUUGUGGUGUAUGGAUUCAUCUCACUGACUGAAACCUGAGUUUUGAUUCACCAGGUUGGAAACACUCUUUUUGUAGAAUGUAUGAAGAGAUAUUUCUGAGGCCUGUUGUGAAAAACUGAGGUUUCCACAAGAAAAACUGGAAACAAGUUAUCUGAGAAAAUGCUUUAUGAUGGGUGAAUUCAUCUCACAAAAUUAAACCUUCGUUUUGAUUCAAAAGGUUGGAAACACUUUUACUGUAUUAUCUAUGAAGAAACGUUUUUGAGGCCAUUAAGUCCUACACUGAAAAACUGAAUAUACUGCAUUAAACAUUCUAAAGAAGCUAACUGUGAAAAUGCUUUGCAAUGUGUGUAUUUAUCUCACAGAGUUAAACCAUUGUUUUGAUUCAUCAGUUUGGAAACAGUUUCUUUGUAGAAUCUAUGAAGGGACCUUUCAGAGGCCAUUGAGGCCUAUAAUAAAGAAACAAAUAUCCCACAAUAAAACAAGAAACAUAUAGAAACAA